Octopus bimaculoides (California two-spot octopus) is the source of this 723-nucleotide long non-coding RNA. RefSeq lists it as uncharacterized. The record is from RefSeq and is a predicted model, not a curated record. Lineage: Eukaryota; Metazoa; Mollusca; Cephalopoda; Octopoda; Octopodidae.
GGUGUGCGUAUGACAAUGUUAUUUAUAUAUUUUGCAAACAUGUUUACACACACACACACGCACACACACACCCCCACACGCACACACACACACACACACACAAAUACACAGAUUGCAUACGAUACAUGUAGGAAGUCGGUGUCACCGCCUUGUAAAAUGUGUUACACAUACCACGGGGCAGAAUUCCUGUUGAACCUACACCACGACCGGUGAAAGAGUGGCAGUCUCAGAAUCUCUUGUCAAUACGUGUGAUGUUCCAGUUAAAAACAAUCUUUUGUAACUCUUGCAUGGAUAGUAACCCAGGGAUCGUUUUCAACUAACUUUCACUUCCUUUUUUUAAUCAAUGUUGAGUGAAUCAAAUUCUAUGCUAUGCAAUAAGUCGUUUUCAUAAGAAGAUAGAAUAAAUUUGGGAGAGAUAUGUUUACCGAAAUACGACAACUUUAACACGAAAUAACUUCGAAAAUAGAAACUUUUUCCAGCAACGCAUAUUUGGAGUCAGAGGGAAGCAUCUACUUGUUCACACUAAUCGCUAGAAAUAGCAGCAGAAUCUCAAUCAAAACACACAUUAUCGUCUUACGAUGGACGCAGUGGCUGAUGUGAUGUCAUUUGGUGUACACGUUUUUGCAAUAAGGAUGGAUUGGUUACAGCUGAAAAGUAUUUUGUUAUCGAGCUUCUGUAUUAGGGAAUGCAUAUAAUAAAUCAUGGGAGCGAAAAUCAAAUUUA